RNAcentral lists this small RNA (29 nucleotides) under Bombyx mori (domestic silkworm). Its description in RNAcentral is "ovarian small RNA-36998". The record is from RNAcentral. Lineage: Eukaryota; Metazoa; Arthropoda; Insecta; Lepidoptera; Bombycidae.
UUCACCCAAUCCAUAUGGUCCUGGCAAAU